Molecule: long non-coding RNA, 4552 nt
Filed under: Aquilegia coerulea
Lineage: Eukaryota; Viridiplantae; Streptophyta; Magnoliopsida; Ranunculales; Ranunculaceae
Description: long non-coding RNA (ACOE_LNC001856)
Source: RNAcentral
UCAAUAAAUAAAUUAUAUUCUUUUAUUUAAAGUUCAGCAAUAGGUAGUUUACAUCAUUAUAAAUUUUCAGGCCAUUGCCUCUAGACAAAGUGACAAACUAAUUAAAACCUGACGAUCUCAACGAGCCAAUGCCUCUAGACACAACUGCUGGCAGAUGAUCAUUAGAAGAAAUAAGUACCCAAACUAAUUGCUUUGUCGAACACCUGCUGUAGAAUACCCUUCUGGCUUGAUUCACUUUUAUUGUUGUUGUCGUACCUUGGGUACAAAAGGAUUUGAUAAGCGGGAUCAAAAAAAUCAUCCACCCCAUGAACAACGAUACGUCCAUCAUUGUAGAUAUUCCACUGUGAGAUCUUGACACCGUUAAUGGCACCGUUUUCUUCAGCAUGAGGUAGUCUAGUAACAACAAGGGGAUGACCAUGCAGGAUAGAGCUUUGUCCUCCUCACUUUGCCGCUUGGGUUGCAUGAUAGAGCUUCAACUUGGAAAAAAUCUUUACUUAAGACUUUAAGAGUAAGAUGAGUAAAACUAGUGUUGGUACUAAACAAAAGCUUUCCUUCAUCAUCUUGUUAAAUUAUGCCUUUAUCUUUCUCUGCAAUGGUAUUGUAGUGCUCACUGCUUAAUGCAGAGAAAGGGAACAUGUAAGGUUUUAUAGAGCAGAACUUACAUCGAAGCCUAUUUUGUCUUGCAUUAGAAUAAAACAGUUUUAAGGCAUUUCACAUUUGGGAUAUAUGUCUUACUUUAUACUAUAAUAUUCAAUAUAUCCAGAUACUUUCAAUCCAAUGCCAGAGUUGCUAGAAUUUACCUACAACCCAAUAUUGGAUUCAAGAUACUACAUUGAUACCUACUAUCCAUGAUUUAGUAUCUAGACAGUUCUGUAACAGGAAGUAUACGCACUUCAGUUGGACUGAAUUAAAAACAAUGUAUGUAAUCUUUCUUCUUUUAUCUUUUUCUUAAGUUGAUGUAAAGAGCAAAUAUCCUUCAAUCCAGUGUUAUAAUGUACAGGGAGUAAUACAAUCAAGUGAUGACUUCCCAUUUAUUCAUUGUUAACUUAAUGCUUAACGUGCAUGAGAAUGACAGUCUCCUUUACAACAGAAAACAAACACAGAACAUGAGAACCCUAGACACUUACAAAUUAAUACCAUGUUGCAAAUCAUAAUGCCAUUCCAAUUUAAAAUAACAGAUAACCUGGUCUAAUCUCUUAUUAUUUUCCUAUUUUUGCGAUGCAAGUUAAGAGAUGAAACAAGAUGAAAUAUAUAAUCCAUAAAAUUGCAAUAAUCUAAAAUCUAAAAUCUGGAUACAAUUAUACAAGCAGCCACAAGUUGAAAUAGCUGAUUUUUUUUUUUUUGGCUGAUACUAGUACUACUAAGAUAAAGCAGCCACAACAUACAUUUAUGACAUACAGUAUAUUAAUUUUACAACGAUUAUAGAAUCUCUGUGCAUAAGCAGAACAUAUAUUUGAGCAAACAAUCAGACAAGAGAGUAAAUACACACUGGUUCAUUAUAUACAUACUAGGUACCAAUAUAAAAUUGCACCCAAUCGUGAGGUAAUAUAUGUCGAUGACUUCAAAAGAUGUACAAUACACUGUACACAAUAUAUGUAAUUCAAGCAUCAGUCCAGGAAAUGUCCAAUUCUCCCCAGUCACUUUCGGGAACACCCAAAGCUUUCCAGACAGCUUUCGAGGCAUCUACAAUGUUGUUAGGACAUGGGGGCUGGUAAUCAUGGUCACUGUCGCACCCCAUAGUCGAGUCGCAUUCAUCUACAACCAUGGCUAACACACUGCGAUCAUUACCGUUGAUUCUUAUGUUCUUAAGACACCUGCUUUCGUUGUUGAACCAUCCUGUUGAAAGUGCUACAACUGGUGUAUCAUCAGAAUGGUACUGAUUAUCACAUUCUGAUGGUCCACCACCAUCUCCUCCUUUCUCAAAGCUAUUGAUUGUCAAAACUGCCUUUGUAUUGGUAGACACAGGUGGUGAACACCUAUAAAUGGUGUACAUCUCUCCUUGCUUACAACAGUCAGAAUCAUUUUCUGUGUUGCAUUGACCUGGGGGAGGUUUUCUUCCUCUCACUUUACCACUAGGACUGCAUGCUUCAGUUCCAAAAUUAAGGUGAAAUAUGAUUACAAGUACUGCAAUUAGGAUAAAUCGUCCCUUCAUCUUUUGCACUCUCACUUUCUUCUUGAUUAUACUUCUUUGAUGCUUAAUGUGCAAAGAUAGGUCCCAAGUAAAGCUAUAUAUAGAUAUUAGUUGCUUUCAAUUAAGAUCAUCUUUCCAUAUGAGGUGAAUUUUCUUCCAUCUAGGCAGCACCGGCCAGUUGAAGGCAUCUUCUACUACAGGUUAAAGGUUGGUUCAACACUGUUGCAACUAACCCUUACACCACGUUGUUGUAGAAAAAGGUUUUUCAUUAGUUCAAUGACAAGAAUAUUGGGUUUUAAGACAACUCAAUAGUCUCACCUGGGUGAUAUGGAUUUAGUUUGUUAAUAUACUGUACUGUAGGUUGCAAUUUUAACAGGGUGCCACAAAUAGCAUGUUAAGAAUAUAUCACAGAUAAACCCGAAGUAAUAAACGCAACCAGAUUCCUUUAAAACGAGAAACGCAUAACAUAAUAACCAUAGCUAUCUAAUUGAUGUGUGACUUAAGUUGAACACUAUGUUGAGUGACUCUUACUGAGGGAAAAGAACAGACAUGACAGACCGGCAGUCAAGAACUAAUACUUAUCUGCUAAAAACUUGCCUAACAUCAUGGCCUCCUAUUUUCGCAGGGCAAGGUAAGAGAUGAAGCAAGAAAAACAAACCAAUCUACAUACAGUAAUAUUAUUUUAAGAAUACACAGAAUAUGGAGUAGAUAAAAUGAUGAAUACAUAAUUUUUUUCUUUUUACAAAUUGAAUAUACAAUGUGACUAUAACAAAAUAUACAGGAGCAGUUAUUCAUCAAUUAUAAGUGACUUGUCUACUGCUGAGUGCUGACCCAUCUACUGGUGAAUGGACAUAGACUGCUUUUCUCCCAUCUACUAGUGAUUCUUUCCUUCCAUAGAUCAUAUAUAGAAUUAUAGAUGUAUCAUGGAUUCAUGGUCAUGGACAUGCAACAGCAACUUCUUGGCAGGUUAUAGAUAUACACUAAUGUUGGCAUAUACAGGGAUGCACAGAAUAACAGAGGAGAUCACAAGGGGAAGACAGGACCAAUCCGAGAAGGACUAGAGCUAGCUAGGCGUUUUCAAUUUUAAAGUGGCAGUGGUACAAAUUUCCAAAUCAAAUUUUGUAGAGCUCUAAGUACAAAUCGUGAAUACUAUCACGGAGAGCAAAAGAUUAUAGGGGACUAAACUUCAAAACUGUAUCACAAACAAAAAGAAAUGAAAAUAUAUAAGAGAAAAGAAUUACAACAGAUUUCAAUGUGAUCUACGUCAAACAGAAUAUAAAGAACUAAAAUCAAAUCCUACUAUCCUAGCAUGAUGAUUCUUAAAAGGUGAGAGCCUCUGGUCAUCUGGUGUAUGUCAAUGACAAAUCCUCCAUGGCUUCAUCAGAUUUCUAUAGUAUAUUUUCUGUAGUUAUUCAAGCAGUUAUCACACAAUGCAAAGUUCUAUGACAUUCCAAGACAAUGAGGCAAAUUACAAAUAAACAAAAAUAUUUCAAUGAAGUAAUUAAAUCAAUUAUACAUCCACCAAAACGAUAUUAAGUAAAGAGCUCUCAAUGAAUAAUAAUCUUGGAAUAACAUUCGAUAAAUAAAUUAUAUUCUUUUAUUAAAAUUCAGCAAUAGUCAGUUCACAAUAAUCUGAAAGAAACUAAAUUAACAUAUAUCAAAUUUUCAGGCCAAUGCCUCUAGACAAGACUGCUGGCAGAUGCCCAUUUAGAAGAAAUAAGUAACCAAACUAAUUGCUUUGUAGAUCACCUCCUGUAGAAUACCCUUCUGGCUUGAUUCACUUUUGUUGUUAUCGUUGUUGUUGUUGUUGUUGUCGUACCUUGGGUACAAAAGGAUUUGAUAAGCGGGAUCAAAAAAAUCAUCCACCCCAUGAACAACGAUACGUCCAUCAUUGUAGAUAUUCCACUGUGAGAUCUUGACACCGUUAAUGGCACCGUUUUCUUCAGCAUGAGGUAGUCUAGUAACAACAAGGGGAUGACCAUGCAGGAUAGUAUCAAUCUUAGAGUGCAGCUUGUAUGAUGACUUGAAAGUCUCCCUCUCUAACUUCACAGGUGCAACAUGAUAUUUAAGUAGUGUCAUGGGAUAUCUCAAGGAGAAGAAAGCUUGAUCAGGUGGAGUGAAUAUGGUAAACACUGAUGAAGUAUUUUCGGUGGAGAUCAAUGUAGGGAGAGUCAACUCUAGGGUUAGAGCCAUGGCAUGGUAGCCCGCAUCCGAAACAGCCUUCACAAUAUUAUCUACUUGUUGUCUUCCAAUAUUAAAACCACCAACAGAUGUUUCUCCAAGAGUAGGAUGAAGUAGAACUGAAAAACUUGAAAGUAGAAUAAUAAAGCAUAAAAGAGAAGAUGAUGAACAAUACCUUGACGCCAUAAUAAAUUGAAGAAGCAAUACAAAAUUGUUGAUAACCGACUGCAGGUUCGUUGC